This 465-nucleotide ribosomal RNA is filed under the name uncultured bacterium. Its description in RNAcentral is "bacterial SSU rRNA". It matches the Rfam family "Bacterial small subunit ribosomal RNA", at positions 8 to 464 of the family's 1533-position model. The record is from RNAcentral.
AGAGUUUGAUCCUGGCUCAGGACGNACGCUGGCGGCGUGCCUAAGACAUGCAAGUCGAGCGCAGCAUGGGACUUCGGUCUUAUGCUUAGCGGCGGACGGGUGAGUAACACGUGGAUAACCUACCCUCAUCUCUGGGAUAACAGGCCGAAAGGCCUGCUAAUACCGGAUAAGCUCACGGCCUCGCAUGGGGCAGGGAGAAAAGGCGCUGCAAGGCGGUGGAUGAGGAGGGGUCCGCGGCCCAUUAGCUAGUUGGUAGGGUAACGGCCUACCAAGGCGACGAUGGGUAGCCGGCCUGAGAGGGCGACCGGCCACACUGGGACUGAGACACGGCCCAGACUCCUACGGGAGGCAGCAGUCGGGAAUUUUGCACAAUGGGCGAAAGCCUGAUGCAGCAACGCCGCGUGAGCGAAGAAGGCCUUCGGGUUGUAAAGCUCUGUUGCCUGUGACGAAGGACCGGAUCAGGAA